This is a small nuclear RNA of Neomonachus schauinslandi (Hawaiian monk seal), 108 nucleotides long. Lineage: Eukaryota; Metazoa; Chordata; Mammalia; Carnivora; Phocidae. The record is from RefSeq and is a predicted model, not a curated record.
GUGCUCGCUUCGGCAACACAUAUACUAAAAUUGGAAUGAUCCGGAGAAGAUUUAGCAUGGCCCCUGCACAAGGAUGACACGCAGAUUCCUGAGAUAUGCUCCGAGGCA